Long non-coding RNA from Pan troglodytes (chimpanzee), 2724 nucleotides. RefSeq lists it as uncharacterized. Lineage: Eukaryota; Metazoa; Chordata; Mammalia; Primates; Hominidae. The transcript has 3 exons. The record is from RefSeq and is a predicted model, not a curated record.
UUUCCAUGUGAUUUUCCUCUUAAUUUUUUUCUAGCUGAUCCAUAUGAAUUCCUCUUAUUAAGAAAAAUAAAGCAUCCAGGAUUCAAUGAAGAACUGACUAUCACCUUGUUAAUCAUUCAGAAACAUGUUGCAGACUUAAGCCUUUUUGAUAUAGAUACUGAAACAAUUACUUGCUAAGAGCAAACUUGAAGGUAUGGAUAAGGCCCUGAGUCAUCUUCCUGAGCUGAAUGAUAGUUAAGCUGAAUGUACGUAUAAAAUAUGAUUUUCUAACACUUGCUCGCCAACAGGGAAAACUUUUAAGUAGAGCAGAACCUGAAUAGACAAGACAUUUCUUUCUUUUGGUAGAAAAUGAUUUACCAUCACUGUCUAGUUAAUUGUAGACUAGGUAAUUUUAACUUUGUGAUUUAUUGCCGGAGACAUUUUCUUCUGUACUGUAAAGUGUGUGUCAAAAAAAAAAUAGCGAUUUUGGAGGAUUAGAGGAGUUUGAUAAAUUGCCUGCAGUUCUGGCAGUAUGAACUGCAUAUUAAUUUCUCUCUUUCAAGAACAUUUUUAUUUAUUAAUUCCUUACAAAAACUCCCUAAACUUUGGAACAGCUCUCAAUUGCCUGUAUUCUUUUUUUUCUUAUUAUGAUACUCUUCUAGAGAUUUGGCUUGCAUCUAUGAAUAAGCCAGGACAUCUUCAGAAAUUGUCUGAUUAAAAACACCACCAAUGGAGUUUCAUUAAACUUGUAUUGCUCUGACUAGUGAAACACACACAUCUAUGUUGCUGAGGAUAUUUUACUGCAGUUUUAGUUGUAAUAAUAGCUCUGUUUAAGAUCCGUCAGUCACUUGAAUCUUCUCUAAGGCUUUGUAUGUUAGAAGUUAAUUUGCUUUCUUACAAGGCCACAUUCUAUCUUGUAACUAAACAACUGAAUUUUAUGUCUUAGCGUAGAUGGUUUAUUACUUUCUGGUUUUUCUUUAGUAAGAAUCCUAUAAAAACACUAGUAUUUUUCUCUGAGUUUAAAAUUCAACACAUGCCUACUGAUACGAUUAGGCUUUGUAUCCCCACCUGAAUCUCAUCUUGAAUUGUAAUCCCCAUAGCCCCCAUAAUCCCCGCAGGUCAAGGGAGAGACCAGGUGGAGGUAAUUGAAUCAUGGGGGCAGUUUCUCCUGUGCUGUUCUUGUGAUAGUGAGUUCUCACGAGAUUUGAUGGUUUUAUAAGGGAUUCUUUCCCCUUUGCUCGGCACUUCUUCAUGCUGCCUUGCGAAGAAGCUGGCUUGCUUCCUCUUUGUCUUCCGGCAUGAUUGUAGAUUUCCUGAGGCCUCCCAAGCGGUGCUGAACUACCAAACCAAUGCAGACCAAACCAAUGCAGAACUCCUAUGUGCUGAUGGUGGUCUUACGUUUCCCUAAGUUUCUGCCGACUAAACUGUGCACACGUUCUCAGGACCUCCUGAAGCUGCGUCACAGGCACUAAUCAAAGAACACAACCAAGAGUUUGGCCUUUUCUUCAGCACUGGGAAUUGUGAUCCAAAGCUUUCCCGGAUGAAGCACAAAGUUGGAGAAACAAAACGCAAACUAAACAACAACAAUGAAACAGAACAGAGUUAAUCUGCUGUAGCUCAAGAGAGGACGUACCUGCCCCCACCCCGCAUCCCUGGGCUUGGGUUUGCCUUGCUGACCUCUGCUGCCACCUGGUGCCACACAGAGAAACUGUGGAGAAACCACAUCAGUCUCCUUCAGCCUCAGCUUCACAUCUGUGGGUCAAGUAACCCUUUCAGAAGCUGUAUAAUGUGGGAAAGCUUUCCUCUCAGGAAAAUGCACACAUCUAACUUUGAGAAGAUGCCCUUGGGGGCGCUUCAAGGAUCCUAGAUAAAGAACCCCCUUUCCCGAACAUCCAAGAACCUAAGUUUUUUUUUUUUUUUUUGAGAAAGUCUCGCUCUCUCUCCCAGUCUGGAGUGCAGUGGCGUGAUCUUGGCUCCCUGCAAGCUCCACCUCCCAGGUUCACGCCAUUCUCCUGCCUCAGCCUCCCGAGUAGCUGGGGCUACAGGCACCUGCCACCACACCCGGCUAAUUUUUUUGUAUUUUUAGUAGAGACGGGUUUCACCGUGUUAGCCAGGGUCUUCUUGAUCUCCUGACCUUGUGAUCCACCCGCCUCGGCCUCCCAAAGUGCUAGGAUUACAGGUGUGAGCCACCGCACCUGGUCCAAGAACCCAAGUUUUAGAUCUAGAGUGAUGUCAGCAUGACAUUGAUUUCCUGAGGCCCAGGGGUGAAGGAGCUGAGGACAGCAGAGGGGUGAAGGAACUCAGCUACAGACAGCAGCAGCUGAUGCACAGGCCUCCCAGCGCCUGAAGUCACCCGGAAUUGGGAAGUGCUCAGAAGCUUACAAAGCUGCCUCGAGGUGGGAACACGACAUAAAUCCAAGAGCAGAUCCCUGAUCCUAUAAAAAUGUACUAGAUGCAGUGGGGGCAUUUUAAAUGAGCAGAGAAGGACAGACAGAUAAACAGAAGGACAAACAGUAUUGGGAUUGGGAUAAAUGCUCAGCUUUUGCCCAAAUCUUAGUGACUUAAGCAUCACUUAUUUGCUCACGAUUCUGUGGCUGGACCAUUUGGUUUGGCUCACAGGGCAGGGACUGUGCUGGUCUUACCUGAGCAGACCUGCAUGUCUGCGGUCAACUGGGUUGGCAGAGACAGAGUGACUGUCUUCCUCCAGGAAGCAGCAGGUUAACUGGUUGGCAGAGACAGAGGGAC